This 200-nucleotide long non-coding RNA is filed under the name Manihot esculenta (cassava). RNAcentral describes it as "long non-coding RNA (MESC_LNC000036)". The record is from RNAcentral. Lineage: Eukaryota; Viridiplantae; Streptophyta; Magnoliopsida; Malpighiales; Euphorbiaceae.
GACUUACAGCCUCAUCUCUUUCCUGAAGAGCCGCUGUCAUAGAGGACAGCUGCUUUAAAACUUCCACACAACGAACUUCCACCUCAGCUGUCCUCUCAUCAGACUCCUGGAGAACCCUGCGAGUACGAGACAACUCUGCUUCCAGGGAUUUGGUGUGCUCUGCUGCCUCAGCCGCUCUGCCUUCAGCUCUUUUAAGGGCC